This 330-nucleotide unclassified non-coding RNA is filed under the name soil metagenome. RNAcentral's name for it is "partial contains 5.8S ribosomal RNA, internal transcribed spacer 2, and large subunit ribosomal RNA". The stretch from base 5 to 119 matches the Rfam family "5.8S ribosomal RNA", at positions 40 to 154 of the family's 154-position model. The record is from RNAcentral.
GAUGAGAACGUAGCGAAAUGCGAUAAGUAAUGUGAAUUGCAGAAUUCAGUGAAUCAUCGAAUCUUUGAACGCACAUUGCGCCCCCUGGUAUUCCGGGGGGCAUGCCUGUUCGAGCGUCAUUUCACCACUCAAGCCUCGCUUGGUAUUGGGCAACGCGGUCCGCCGCGUGCCUCAAAUCGUCCGGCUGGGUCUUCUGUCCCCUAAGCGUUGUGGAAACUAUUCGCUAAAGGGUGUUCGGGAGGCUACGCCGUAAAACAACCCCAUUUCUAAGGUUGACCUCGGAUCAGGUAGGGAUACCCGCUGAACUUAAGCAUAUCAAUAAGCGGAGGA